RNAcentral lists this long non-coding RNA (269 nucleotides) under Zostera marina. RNAcentral's name for it is "long non-coding RNA (ZMAR_LNC003010)". The record is from RNAcentral. Lineage: Eukaryota; Viridiplantae; Streptophyta; Magnoliopsida; Alismatales; Zosteraceae.
GACAUGGAAAAAAGUCGAUCACUUUUUUCGAAAAAGCCGAGGAGCUUUUGUCGUGAGUAUCUUUGAGUCACAGACGGCGCCAACUGAUGGGGGUGAAACCCGACCAGUACUCCAAGACGCGCAAGCAAGCGCCAAGCGGGGAACUCCGAGGGAAACCGGACCGGAACUCAAGUGUGCAGAGCUCUGCUUCGCUAGGAAUCCUUUCGCUCCAAAUGACCUACCUUUAAUGAGUGGGGGGUGCCCUCUAUUUAUAGGGGUUCUUAUGGGGG